GGCAUCCGAGCGCAGCGCUCUUCCGCGGAACCACGCGGGUGCAGCUGAGCUCAGGGACUGCCGAAAGUGAAAGUGGCAUCACGGAAAUAACCAGUACUGUGGCUUGGUUACCGCCGAUCCUACAGCGAGGCGCAAAGUGCUUAUGACACCAAAGGUCCUGAAACAAAAGUCUCUCAAGGCAACACAGCUCCGGGUGGCCCUUGCUUUGACGCGGAGUGAGACUUUGAGAUCGCAAAACCCAAAACAGGCCUCUCACAGGAAACAUCCUGACCAGACCCACCAGUGAAUGACUACAAGAAAGAAGAAACUAGCACAUUCCCACCAAAGUCUGCCUGGAACCAGGACUUUACCCCCUCCCCUUUUAGUAUAGAAGAAGCCUGAAUUCUAAUUCGGAGAAGAUUGUGGACCCCAGGACCACAUCUCACUCUUCUGCUACAUCCUCUUCCACACCUUGCCUGGUGCCAGGCCCAGAGGGAUGCACCCUAAACCUGAAUCAAAUUGCAAAGCCUAACAGAUGCCAGUGGAAGGAUUUGGUGGGAUUUAAUAGCAACCUAUGAACUUGGGAAGCUAGAGAGUAAGGGAGAAUGAGUCUUUCCUAUUAUUCAAAUUGUCAGAGUUGCUUUCCUUCCAUAUUCUUGUGUUGAAAUCACUGCUAGAAACCUUUCUUGUCUAAAACAGGUAAGUAACCACCUUCAAACAGCCAGGGCAUCUCUCUAAAGCUGCCAGGACCAUAUGUAGAGUUUUAAUGGCAACAGGCCACUGAUACCUUUUUCUUCCAUUCCACCUGGGGAAAAAUCCCCCAAGCCUACUUUACUCUGAGGCCAAUGGACAGAUAUGCGAAGGUCCACCUGUCAGUGUGGGCUGCUGGAGGGAGGAUGUGGCUACUGAGUGUCUCAGAGCUGACUGCACGGAAGACAGCCCAGGCCUGGCUCUCUCAUCACACAUAGGAGCAGGACAGGUCUGCCCAUCCAGCCUGAGCCUCCCUGUGUGGCAUCGCCAAGCUGGGGGCUAUUUCCUCCCUUGCAGACCUGGAAGCAGUGAGUCUGACAGUGACAGCAAUCUGCCCUGACAAUCAGGUAUGAACACAGGUGGGAAGACCGAAACACCUGCCCCUUCCCAUGAGUACUGGGGCAGACGUGCAGCAGUGACGCCCCUUCCAGAAGCAAGGACACCUUCUUACCCCUUUGGUGACAUUUGCCUCUUGUAGAAGGGGCACUGCCCCGGGAAGGGCACAUGCCUUAGAUCAUAUAGUCGCAGGCAGUGGGGGACUCUUGGUCUGUGGCUCUAACCCACAGCUUUGCCCAUUGGGCCACACCACCCCGCUACUGCCUGUCACCUGUGCUAUCAUCAGCUCCAACUGCUCUAUCUAGAAAGUGCUUCUCUCUCAUUCUCGCUUUUCUUUUUUUGUUCCCUGGGUCUAUUUGUUUUUGUUGUUUCUUAUUUUGUUCCAGGCACCCUUGUUGGGGAAGUAGACCAGGGAGGCCCCAGAUACCUGGGCUGGGUGGACUGCUAUCUCUGGUCGACACAUCUGCCUGCAGGGCUCGCUCCUCCCUCACAGCUGGCAGCUGCCCACCGGGAGAUGGCUGCGGCUUGGAAUCUGCAGCGGCCCAGCUGAGGGCUGGCUCCCCGCCCCUGCAGGUGGUGGAGAUGACGCCUCUGGAGUGCCAAGCCUCCCCCACAUCACCCCAACACACGCAGGGCCCUACAGCCCAUUUCUUCUCUCCUCCUGUGGUUUCUUCUUGCUGCUGUUUGGUCAAGAAGAGAGGAAAGACCCCGAGGCUGCACCCUGUUAUUAGGCGACAGUCAUUUACAUCCUCGAGCUCUAAGUCAGGGGUCAGGAAUGAACCCAAAAGUAGGCAUCGCUGGGGAGAACUGAGCACACCUGCUCGGUUUGGGCAGGGCAGGCGGAGGUGGUCGUGGAGCCCAAGACCCUUCCCGUCCGCCUCCCGUGCCUCAGUUUUCCCAUCUGAACCAUCUUCUCCAAAACAACUUACUGCUCUCAGAGCAGAAAAAUUGGAAGAACCUGAAAUAUUUAAAGAAAGAAAUCACCCACAAUUCUGCCAUUAAUAUCUUGCUGUUUUCAUCUAUCUUUUUUAUAUAACUGAAUCACCCUGCCUAUGCAAUGAUGGAGCCUGUUUUUAAACAACAACCUUUCCAUGAUGAACAAGUCAUACAUGUUCAUUAUGGAACAUUCAGAAAAUUCAAACACAAAGAAGGAAAAUGACUUUUUGUUGCUCCCUUGAGAAAUAACGAACAGUAAUGUUUUGAUGUUGUCUUUCUGGUCUUUUUAAUAAGCAUGAUAUACCAAAAGGAAAAAUAACGCACAGUAUUCACACUUUCCAUACUUUUGGGCAAAUUUUCCUUUUUCCCUUAACUCAGCGUGAAUAAUUUUUAUAUUAUUAUAUGUUCUUUUGCCUCAUUUAUGAUGACAGAA
This is a long non-coding RNA of Aethalodelphis obliquidens (Pacific white-sided dolphin), 2434 nucleotides long. RefSeq lists it as uncharacterized. The transcript has 4 exons. The record is from RefSeq and is a predicted model, not a curated record. NCBI's taxonomy places the organism in Eukaryota, Metazoa, Chordata, Mammalia, Artiodactyla, Delphinidae.